GAUGAACGCUGGCGGCGUGCUUAACACAUGCAAGUCGAACGAUGAAGCCCAGUUUGCUUGGUGAAUUAAUGGCCAACGGACGAGUAACUCACGAGUGACGUGCCCUUGUCUCUGGGGUAGGCCUCGUAAACUGGGGCUAGUACUUGCCAUGUCUUCUCAUUACACGCAGGGUGGUGGAAUGAUUUAUUGGUUUUGAUUGGACUCGCGGCCUAUCAGCUUGUUGGUGAGGUAAUGUCACACAAAGGCGAAGACGGGUAGCCGGACUGAGAGGGUGACCGGCCACAAUGGGACUGAGGAGGGGCCCAUAGUGCUACGUGAGGCAGCAGUGGGGAACAGAGCACAAUGGGCGGAAGCAUGAUGCAGGGACGCCGCGUGGUGGAUGACGGCCGUCAGGGUGUAAACCUCGUGCAGGAGGGAAGAAGCGAGAGUGACGGUACCUGCAGAAGAAGCGACGGCUAACUACGUG
This 466-nucleotide ribosomal RNA is filed under the name uncultured bacterium. Its description in RNAcentral is "partial 16S ribosomal RNA". It matches the Rfam family "Bacterial small subunit ribosomal RNA", at positions 28 to 507 of the family's 1533-position model. The record is from RNAcentral.